CACUGAAAUGUCCCAUUUGUGUCAGCAGAUCAUAUGGGUAUUCCUGGCCUGGGGCUCAUCAUCUGAGAGGCAGAAGAGUGAUCUGGAGGAUUCUGGAAAGGUAAAACUCCUAAUAGCUGUGCUGAAGGGCAGACUUACCACUCUGACUAGUGAAGACAGACUUGAUAACAAGCACUGA
RNAcentral lists this long non-coding RNA (178 nucleotides) under Zonotrichia albicollis (white-throated sparrow). RNAcentral's name for it is "lncRNA (ENSZALG00000004802.1)". Lineage: Eukaryota; Metazoa; Chordata; Aves; Passeriformes; Passerellidae. The record is from RNAcentral.